This is a long non-coding RNA of Schistocerca gregaria, 707 nucleotides long. RefSeq lists it as uncharacterized. The record is from RefSeq and is a predicted model, not a curated record. The transcript is spliced from 3 exons. Lineage: Eukaryota; Metazoa; Arthropoda; Insecta; Orthoptera; Acrididae.
AACAGCUGACUAGCGAGUAGCGAUACAUGGCUUCGUGGGCAUCUGUUGACUUGUAGUUGCAGACUAAUUUGUAAAAGAAAGUUUCGUUUAAGGUCGCAGAGCGGACAUGUUGCGGAAGAAGGCUGCGAAUGAGCUGCUGAACAAGCUGCACAAGGGGUUCGUGCUGAGCUGCGUCGCGCUCACCGUCGCCGGCUGCGGCCUCCUCGGCAUGAACACCUUCCGCUACUUCACCGUGGUGCGGCCCGCCGUCAAGGAGAGGCAGCUGGAAGCGCAGCAGGAGCUGCUCGGCGAGGGCGCCGAGACGCUGACCGACGCCGCGCCGUCGGUGGGCGCCUGAGUCCGCGCCGUCCGUGUCCGCACUGACGGCUCAAGGUUGGCGAACGGGCAAAGUCCACCGGUAAACUCUACAGGGAGCUGUCUCGGAGGAGGUGUAAGCGGAUGUUGACGGUGAAGUAUAUUUGUGUGUCUCGAUCCGGAACUGCCGGGGACGUCGAUUCUCGAAUGUCAGUGUCGGAAUUUAUCUGUAAUAUUCCCGAACGGACACUUUGUCAGGAUGGCUCGUAGUGUGCAGUGUGUUUAUUGGCCGGUGCAUUCUAAACAUGUAAGACACCAGUGGAUUGUCUGUAUAUUGUAGAAAAUGAGUUUUCCUGUCCAUUGUGUCUAAAUAUUUUUGUUAAGAGCUGCAAUAAAAGGUUGUGUGUGAGAGA